Molecule: transfer RNA, 92 nt
Filed under: Spirochaetota bacterium
Lineage: Bacteria; Pseudomonadati; Spirochaetota
Description: Spirochaetes bacterium (wastewater metagenome) tRNA-Sec
Rfam family: Selenocysteine transfer RNA
Source: RNAcentral
GGAAGCGGAUGAGAUCUGGUGGUCUCUGCGGUCUUCAAAACCGCUGGCUGCCCUUACCGGCAGCGGCAGGUUCGAUUCCUGCCCCUUCCGCA